UACAGAGACUGCAAGCGUUAUUCGGAUUCACUGGGCGUAAAGGGUGUGCAGGCGGCCGUGUGUGUGAGGCGUGAAAGCCCGGGGCUUAACCCCGGAAUUGCACCUCAAACUACACGGCUAGAGCAUUGGAGAGGGUAGCAGAAUUCACGGUGUAGCAGUGAAAUGCGUAGAUAUCGUGAGGAAUACCAGAGGCGAAGGCGGCUAUCUGGACAAUUGCUGACGCUCAGGCACGAAAGCGUGGGGAGCAAAAGGG
RNAcentral lists this ribosomal RNA (253 nucleotides) under uncultured bacterium. RNAcentral describes it as "partial 16S ribosomal RNA". It matches the Rfam family "Bacterial small subunit ribosomal RNA", at positions 524 to 776 of the family's 1533-position model. The record is from RNAcentral.